This 387-nucleotide ribosomal RNA is filed under the name uncultured bacterium. RNAcentral describes it as "bacterial SSU rRNA". It matches the Rfam family "Bacterial small subunit ribosomal RNA", at positions 355 to 759 of the family's 1533-position model. The record is from RNAcentral.
UCGGGAAUUUUGGGCAAUGGGCGAAAGCCUGACCCAGCAACGCCGCGUGAGGGAUGAAGUAUUUCGGUAUGUAAACCUCGAAAGAAUGGGAAGAAUAAAUGACGGUACCAUUUAUAAGCUCCGGCUAACUACGUGCCAGCAGCCGCGGUAAUACGUAGGGAGCAAGCGUUGUUCGGAUUUACUGGGCGUAAAGGGCGCGUAGGCGGCGCGGUAAGUCACUUGUGAAAUCUCUGAGCUUAACUCAGAACGGCCAAGUGAUACUGCUGUGCUAGAGUGCGGAAGAGGCAACCGGAAUUCUUGGUGUAGCGGUGAAAUGCGUAGAUAUCAAGAGAAACACCUGAGGCGAAGGCGGGUUGCUGGGCCGACACUGACGCUGAUGCGCGAAAG